UUAAAUUAAAUGUACUGAGGAGUCAGCAGUUGGAAAUAUCCAUGAAGGGUUGAACCUAUGUAUGGUACUUAGUAGGGAUGUCAGAGCAAUGAAUGUGUAUGUGCGAUUCAUUAGCUUGUGUUUGAGGAGGUAGUUAAAGCCACAGCCAUGGAUGAAAUCAUCCAGGAGGAGUACACAGAGGAAAAGGAGAAUUUACCCAUCAAGACAAUCUGAACAAAGCAGAGACCAGCAACACAAAUCUAGGAAGGUGCGAUUUUUUUCAUUAUACCUCUUGUAAUUCAAAUUUCAAGAAUAGCAUAAUGUCUUAUAUUAUAUAAACAAAAACAAAAACAAACAAAUGGGAAAAACCCAACUCAUAAUGUAGGAGGAAAUCUGGGAGAGAUUUAUUAGAAAGUUAAGAGAACAAUGGAUGAAGAAUUAAUGGUGUUUAGAGCUUCCAAUGAUACAUAAAAUAGAAUUAAAUCACAUGGUUUAUUGAUUGACACACAUAGUUACCAGAACAGCUUUCUUUGUGCUGCAUCCUUACAUAGCUUGGGUCCUAGAACCCUGACUAUGGGCAACAAUGGAAUCAAUGGAAUGAAGAAAUAACAGACCCUAAAGAAACAACAGAUAUAGGUACACAGAAAGUCUGAGAUUGAUGGCCUGAACUCUCUGAUGGAAGCCCAGUGUGUUUAUUAUGUACAGCUGAACAUGGAGGUGGGUUACUGCAUCCAUCUGAACAGGAGGUGGGGUUAAUGGUGUAUGGCUGAAUAGGAGGCAGGUUUAGCUAAUCUCACCAGGAGCAGUCUCUGCAGGGGGGCAGUCUUCAGGCUGUAAACAUCCAGGAGGAGAAAGGUACAGUGGACAUUUUCUGCACACACUGUCAGUCUGUCAGUCUCCCCUCAUGGGCCAGAGGAAGAGUUGCCACCCCUCUGGGCCUUACCUAGGCUUUGUCACUUUCAUGGGGCUGAGGAUUUGGGGUCCUUGACAUGACUGUGCUCACGUCAAAUGAUACAUACUCUCUCAGGACUUCAUAUGCCCCCUACACGUUUAUCCUUUGGUCUUAUCAUAAUGAUAUGAAUAAACUUAACAAGAUUUUGUGAAAACUUGAUAGGUGUCAGUGUGUCUCUCUGCCCAGGUACAUUCCUCAAAAGCAAGUGAUGCAUAGCUGUCUUUUGGUUGUAAAAAGAUGAAAUACAUGCUUAAGUAGUGUGUCUGUUUCUCUGUUUUUAACAUUUAUCUCUAUUGGUUAAUAACUUCUGUGGUCUCUGUGUGGGACCUUCCUUUUGGGGAUAGAUGGACCCAUGUAUAAUGUGGUCAGGAUUUUAGUGCCUAGGUCACUAAUCAGUUGACUCUUAGUUAAUAAAAGAUACAUCAUCUCAGAUGUGCUUGUCUUUUACAGGCGAGCCCUUCAAAAGAGGGACUGACUGGACUUUUCUGGAAAAAAUUUUACUAGCCUUCAAGAAUUAUGUAAGCAGAGGUGGAGUUUUUCUUUCCUGACCACCUGGUCCCAAAGAAACAUACAAAAGCAUGUAUUAAUUAGAAAACGCUCAGCCGAUGGCUCAGACUAUCAGUGUUUUAUUGAAUCAAUUCCAGUGACAAAUCUUUACAGUGUGCAAGAGGAAUAUCCCACAGCAGAAUUUAGUCUUCAAAGAAGAAGGUCACAUGACAAGGACCCAAGGGUGGCUUCUGGAGAGGAGAGCAAUUUGGGGCUGACAGCAAGUGCUACCGUGUUCUUGCUGUGAGAGUGUUUGCAGAGAAACCUGGCUCCAACUUGAGGAAUGAGAGGGCACGGAAUAACCCACUGAAGCAAUUGCAUGGUGAAAGUGCAGCACAGAGUACUGCUCAGAGUGCAUCUUUAUUAGGAAAACGUCCUUAUGCAAUGCUCCUGUCAAGCCAGAAGAUGAAGACUGACUGUACAGAUAGGGUUAGUCAUCAGAAUCUAGUGGAGACCGAGCAAGCUGACAUCAUCUGUAGAGGGACCCUCCCUCUGGCGUAUAUGCUAGGUCAGCUGUUCUUUGGAAUGCUGCUGACACAAGGGGAAAGUGGGCUAGUGAGCUGAUGACAUCAUUGCGUAUAAUUUAUAUGGAAUAGUUUAGCAACAUGGAACUCCUCUUGGUUUGGGCUGCUAAUGAGGCCCUUGACAGCCUCUUAGCAACCUGGGACCACCACCUGUUUCAGCUGCACGCAUGCUUGCUUUAAACAAUGGAAACAAACACACAAGCCUGUCAAUCAAAAUAGAGAACCACUCACACUAUACCCUCUGUCAACUAAACUCCUCCUCCUCUUGAAUCCCGCAAGAGGAAACCUGAGGCAAUAAUUCGGGUCCCUUAAGUGCCCGUUCAUUCUUGUGAUCCACUGUAGCUCUUGACAGUAUAUUUUUUCCUGCUCUAUGAGAACGUUUUGCUUUUGAAUAAAGUUCCCUGCUCGUUUGUGAC
Non-coding RNA from Peromyscus maniculatus bairdii (prairie deer mouse), 2417 nucleotides. NCBI's taxonomy places the organism in Eukaryota, Metazoa, Chordata, Mammalia, Rodentia, Cricetidae. The record is from RefSeq and is a predicted model, not a curated record.